UUGACCUCAAAUCGGGUAGGAUUACCCGCUGAACUUAAGCAUAUCAAUAAGCGGUGGAAAAGAAACUAACAA
This 72-nucleotide ribosomal RNA is filed under the name Phellinus bicuspidatus. Its description in RNAcentral is "partial 28S ribosomal RNA". It matches the Rfam family "Eukaryotic large subunit ribosomal RNA", at positions 1 to 71 of the family's 3401-position model. Lineage: Eukaryota; Fungi; Basidiomycota; Agaricomycetes; Hymenochaetales; Hymenochaetaceae. The record is from RNAcentral.